CGGGAAGUAGCUCAGCUUGGUAGAGCACCACGUUCGGGACGUGGGGGUCGCAGGUUCAAAUCCUGUCUUCCCGA
RNAcentral lists this transfer RNA (74 nucleotides) under Fervidibacillus albus. RNAcentral describes it as "Bacillaceae bacterium MEBiC13591 tRNA-Pro". It matches the Rfam family "tRNA". Rfam says of the family: Transfer RNA (tRNA) molecules are approximately 80 nucleotides in length. Lineage: Bacteria; Bacillati; Bacillota; Bacilli; Caryophanales; Bacillaceae. The record is from RNAcentral. RNAcentral also lists the same sequence under 4 other names.